ACAGGGCGGAGAGGAUCGGAGUCGUUUGGAAUCGGGACAGCCUGCGGCAGCUGACAUCUGUCGAUGAAAGUGUUUCCAGACGAUCUGCACGCUGCACGCGAUCUACUUUCAACUUUUCCUCGAACUGUUAGAAAUUAUCUCUGCGAUUUAUCCAGGAUAGUAACACCGAUUUGAGCAUCCCCAAGUGGCCGAAGACGGAUGAUUAUUUACUAAACUCUACGAAGCUGCGGGUGAAGUUCUCUGAUGUGAGACACGAGGUUGGUGGGCAAGUCUCUGUGGCGACUGCGACGCGCCCAACAGUCGAACCUAAGUCAAGGCAUACUGCAAUCCACCAAAACAACGUGAGAGCACACACAUACUGCGAAAAAAUUAACCUUGACGCCUGGAUCGCGAUUCGCAGCGAAUCUAGACUGUGCGCAAUGAAUUCCUCGCGUGAAAUCAGGUGAAUCAGAUGUACGAAUAAACGGAUUUCAGUAUACUUCACUAUUCGCCAAAAAUGGAUCGCAAGAGUACGAAGGAAUUUUUUUUCGUCCCUAUUUUCCAGCAGAAAACUUUUCUUCGCAGAAUCGAUUUGAACAAUCCUUUCUGGACUAAUUAGGCCGCACGGAUUGCAAAACAAGUAUUGAGCGGUGGUGAGACUAACAGCUGAAUCGAUAGAGGAGUAAUAUGGAAAAAGUCAUUUACAUAUUUAUUUCAUUCCAGGUUACAUGGAAUUGUGACGAUACGAUCGAAUAUCAUACAUAUCGUCACCUGCGGAGCAACAUAGCACUGCCACAUGUAACAUUUUUGUUAGUUUACUCAGGCUGAUGUACAUUUCACUUCUUUUUCCUCACAAAAUAGUCUGAUUUCCUGUAAUGAUUAAUCAUUAUUUUGAAUUUCUGUGCAUCUUUCACCGCAAUGCCAUUUUGUGACAUACUGAGGUGAAAUACAAUAACUC
Neodiprion fabricii is the source of this 937-nucleotide long non-coding RNA. RefSeq lists it as uncharacterized. The record is from RefSeq and is a predicted model, not a curated record. The transcript has 3 exons. Lineage: Eukaryota; Metazoa; Arthropoda; Insecta; Hymenoptera; Diprionidae.